AACCUAAGCAACAAUUUAACCACAAAUCACAAUAAACACACAUUACAAUCAAAAGCCUGAAAUAUUAACUAUAGCUAUUUGAGAUUCGACUACAUUUAGUAUUACAUGCUCAAAUCAGCUGAAGAGUAAGAUAUUACUCAUUACAUAGCUCCAGCUCCAUCGAACCGAAAGCAACUGUUCCAAGCAAUUCCUCUUUCCAUAACCCACCAUGAGAAUUAACAAAAAUAUAUUUGAUAUGAAAUACACAAUGAGCUUCCUACUCAGCAGCUACUUUACCCUUACAUAAGUGAAACUAAGGCUUAAUUUGCUAAAUGAGUGCAACGGUUAUCAGUUUUGUCUUUGUAUAUCUUCUUUGAUCAUAAAUCUACAACAGAUGCCAUAAUUCACAGAAAAGUUGAGGAACCGAAUAAAUCUCUGAAACUAAGGGCAACAUAAGAAAGGCAAACUGACAAGUAAUACCUGUUCUCACCUUGCCAACAAGCCACCCAAAGCCAUACUACUGUCCAUGACGUUUCUAACUGCCCCUUCAUCGUGCUGUCCUCUGGAACUCAAUUUUCCCUCUCCCUUUCAGGGUUUAACUUCCAUACGACAAAUACAAUGCAUAAUAAAAAACUAACACUUAGAGAAAGAGAGAUCUGUUCAUCAUAUCAAGAAAUCGAUACCUCAAGUGCAUACAAGGGAGAAUCCACACCUUCUACGGAACAAGCAUGUAAUACUAAAUGUAGUCGAAUCUCAAAUAGCUAUAGUUAAUAUUUCCGGUGCAAGGGACGAGCUGCUGCUGCCUGCAGGGACGAGCUGUACUGCUGCUGCUGCCUGCUGGGACUGGAGAAAGGGAGGGAGGCGCCGGUGGGAGAGGCAGCGGCGCCGGUGCCGGUGGGAGGCGGGGAUGGGAGGUCGGAAAAGACAGAAAGGGAGGGGUGGAGGCGGGUGGAAUGGGAUGGCCGAAUGGAACAG
This 954-nucleotide long non-coding RNA is filed under the name Salvia miltiorrhiza (redroot sage). Its description in RNAcentral is "long non-coding RNA (SMIL_LNC007187)". The record is from RNAcentral. Lineage: Eukaryota; Viridiplantae; Streptophyta; Magnoliopsida; Lamiales; Lamiaceae.